RNAcentral lists this ribosomal RNA (443 nucleotides) under Shigella sp. FC1967. RNAcentral describes it as "bacterial SSU rRNA". It matches the Rfam family "Bacterial small subunit ribosomal RNA", at positions 1 to 437 of the family's 1533-position model. The record is from RNAcentral. Lineage: Bacteria; Pseudomonadati; Pseudomonadota; Gammaproteobacteria; Enterobacterales; Enterobacteriaceae.
UUUAAUUGAAGAGUUUGAUCAUGGCUCAGAUUGAACGCUGGCGGCAGGCCUAACACAUGCAAGUCGAGCGGUAACAGGAGAAAGCUUGCUUUCUUGCUGACGAGCGGCGGACGGGUGAGUAAUAUAUGGGGAUCUGCCCGAUAGAGGGGGAUAACUACUGGAAACGGUGGCUAAUACCGCAUGAUGUCUACGGACCAAAGCAGGGGGCUCUUCGGACCUUGCGCUAUCGGAUGAACCCAUAUGGGAUUAGCUAGUAGGUGGGGUAAUGGCUCACCUAGGCGACGAUCUCUAGCUGGUCUGAGAGGAUGAUCAGCCACACUGGGACUGAGACACGGCCCAGACUCCUACGGGAGGCAGCAGUGGGGAAUAUUGCACAAUGGGCGCAAGCCUGAUGCAGCCAUGCCGCGUGUAUGAAGAAGGCCUUAGGGUUGUAAAGUACUUUC